RNAcentral lists this unclassified non-coding RNA (358 nucleotides) under soil metagenome. RNAcentral describes it as "partial contains 5.8S ribosomal RNA, internal transcribed spacer 2, and large subunit ribosomal RNA". The stretch from base 1 to 120 matches the Rfam family "5.8S ribosomal RNA", at positions 35 to 154 of the family's 154-position model. The record is from RNAcentral.
GAUGAAGAACGUAGCGAAAUGCGAUAAGUAAUGUGAAUUGCAGAAUUCAGUGAAUCAUCGAAUCUUUGAACGCACAUUGCGCCCGUCAGUAUUCUGGCGGGCAUGCCUGUUCGAGCGUCAUUACGCCCCUCAAGUCCCCUGUGGACUUGGUGUUGGGGAUCGGCGAGGCUGGUUUUCCAGCACAGUCGUCCCUUAAAUUAAUUGGCGGUCUCGCCGUGGCCCUCCUCUGCGCAGUAGUAAAACACUCGCAACAGGAGCCCGGCGCGGUCCACUGCCGUAAAACCCCCCAACUUUUUAUAGUUGACCUCGAAUCAGGUAGGACUACCCGCUGAACUUAAGCAUAUCAAUAAGCGGAGGA